GCUCAGUUCGACAGGGAACGUAUCCCUGAACGUGUUGUUCAUGCUCGAGGAGCCAGUGCCAAGGGUUUCUUUGAAGUAACUCACGAUGUAUCUCACCUUACAUGUGCUGAUUUUCUCCGGGCUCCUGGGGUUCAGACCCCUGUUAUUGUUCGGUUCUCCACCGUUGUGCAUGAGCGUGGAAGCCCUGAGACCUUGAGGGAUCCACGUGGUUUUGCUGUCAAGUUCUACACCAGAGAGGUACUGAUGAUAAAUCUUAACUUGCAUCCUAAAAAGAUGUAUACAUCUUAACUGUUUUGUUUGUUGUUUUACCUUGAGCAUGACCGUUAUUUUAAAAUUAAAACUAUUGCAAGUUAUGUGGAACAUCUUGGCAAUAUUUUUCUGUCAACAUAUGCACUUAUCAAAGACUGUAAUAUCAAUUUUUUCCCUAUUGUGAUUAUUGCACUGGAGUUACAACAACUUGAAUUGUGCUUAAUCCCUGUAAAUAUCCUUUGCAUGAGCUGCUAUACAGAUGAAAUAAUAUCUUAGAUCCGACCAUUUUUUCUGUUUGAAGGUUUGAUUACCACUACCCCCCUUCCCACUUGUAGGCCUAUGCAAUUGAAUGUUUACCUUGUCAUGAGGGGAUUCUUUUAUGGGGACACGCUGCUGACCUAUUCUUAUGCUGUUCGUUAACUUUCUCCUAGUUUCUGACACCUUAUAUUGACCUUUUUAUAUCCAAGGGAUGGUACUUAAUAGCUUUCACCAUGCUUUUUUUCAGGGUAACUUUGACCUUGUGGGUAACAACAUGCCUGUGUUUUUCAUCCGAGAUGGGAUGAAAUUCCCUGACAUGGUUCAUGCUUUCAAGCCAAACCCAAAGACCAAUUUGCAGGAGAACUGGAGAAUAGUAGACUUCUUCUCACACCACCCAGAGAGCAUGCACAUGUUCACCUUCCUCUUCGAUGAUGUUGGCAUCCCACUCAACUACAGGCACAUGGAGGGUUUUGGUGUGAACACCUACACCUUGAUCAGCAGGGACGGAAAGCCUCACCUUGUCAAAU
RNAcentral lists this long non-coding RNA (1034 nucleotides) under Setaria viridis. Its description in RNAcentral is "long non-coding RNA (SVIR_LNC005088)". Lineage: Eukaryota; Viridiplantae; Streptophyta; Magnoliopsida; Poales; Poaceae. The record is from RNAcentral.